This 1759-nucleotide ribosomal RNA is filed under the name Triticum aestivum (bread wheat). Its description in RNAcentral is "partial small subunit ribosomal RNA". The record is from RNAcentral. Lineage: Eukaryota; Viridiplantae; Streptophyta; Magnoliopsida; Poales; Poaceae.
CACCACUCAUCCUAGAAAGUGCCAGGAGAAGCGGCGGCAAGGUGUCCCAUGGAGCUCUCUGGAAGAAGAUCAGACGCCAACCGAACCAGCACACGGGGGCAGGGCAGCUCUCUCUCGACCCUUCUUUAUAUUUUUUUAACGUCAGCUCUACAUUUUCCAUUGAUACAGAAGGGGAUGAAAGAACAGAUAUCCAGGCGAACAAAGGGAGAAGAUCAACCAAUCAGCAGCAAAACUAGGCUUCAGAAGGGGAACACGCAGUGCUAUUGGACCUCUAAUCAUUCCGCUCCUCGCAGAGUCCACCAAGCCAGCAGAUAAACUGUCGACCAUACUCUGCAGAUCACUUCUGACUUGCAUAUUGAAAUGAUGGAUGAGCUGCGGCCUCCAUCUGUGGUCCAGAAGCUCCAUGGACAGUCCAUGUUGUUCAGAGAAAUCUCUUCUUCUGCCAUGAGAAGUCAUGUAAUCAACAAUGCACAUUAUGCGCGCAAUUUCUCCGUGACAAAAUACCAUCAGACGAAUGGAAGUAUUGGGCGUUUGCCUCGCAAUACACCAUCCCCGAUCCGUGCCCCCGCGCCCGAGGAGAAGGGUUUUUCUGGAUUCAUGAUCGAUUUUCUAAUGGGUGGAGUUUCUGCUGCCGUCUCCAAAACGGCGGCUGCUCCGAUUGAGCGUGUUAAGCUCUUGAUUCAGAACCAGGAUGAAAUGAUCAAGAGUGGUAGGCUUUCUCAUCCUUACAAAAGUAUCGGCCAUUGCUUCACCCGCACAAUAAAAGAUGAGGGUGUGGUUGCACUCUGGAGGGGAAACACAGCCAAUGUUAUCCGUUACUUCCCGACUCAGGCCUUAAACUUUGCCUUCAAGGACCACUUCAAGCGCAUGUUCAACUUUAGAAAGGACAAGGAUGGCUACUGGAAGUGGUUCUUCGGCAACAUAGCUUCCGGAGGAGCCGCCGGCGCUUCUUCUCUGUUGUUUGUGUAUUCUCUGGAUUACGCUCGUACUCGCCUUGCCAAUGAUGCCAAGGCUGCAAAGGUGGGUGGCCAGAGGCAGUUCGAUGGCAUCGUAGAUGUCUAUCGCAAGACCCUUGCUAGCGACGGUGUCCGCGGCUUGUACCGUGGCUUCAACGUCUCCUGUGUGGGCAUCAUCGUUUAUCGAGGUCUUUAUUUCGGAAUGUACGACUCCCUCAAGCCGGCGGUUCUUGUUGGUUCUCUUGAGGAUAACUUGCUUGCCAGUUUCUUGCUUGGCUGGGGUGUGACGAUGGGUGCAGGGCUUGCCUCGUAUCCCAUUGAUACCGUCCGCCGCCGUAUGAUGAUGACAUCUGGUGAGUCCGUGAAGUAUAAGAACUCCAUGGAUGCUUUCAGGAAGAUCAUCGCCGAGGAGGGCGCCAAGUCCCUCUUCAAGGGUGCUGGCGCCAACAUCCUCCGUGCUGUUGCGGGUGCUGGUGUGCUUGCUGUGUAUGACAAGCUCCAGGUGGUCGUCUUUGGCAAGAAGUAUGGGUCCGGUGGCGGCUAAGUAUGGAUGCUGUAGGGCUAAAUUUUGUGCGAUGGUGUAGCGCUGCUUUUGAAUAAAAUCUGCCAUAUGGGGUGUGUAUCUUGUGGAUGAUCCUAUUUCGGCGCCAACGGUGCUCUCCGGUGGAUCUGUUCUCUCCUUCCUGCAAACACGAAACAUCACACAAAGCAAUAAAAAAUACAGACAUCAACUGAUCAAACGAACAAACUGAAUAGCAGAGUAUGAGACUAGUUUGCACUUUGCAGCAUCAUGUGGCUCUAAC